RNAcentral lists this ribosomal RNA (292 nucleotides) under Nematoda environmental sample. RNAcentral's name for it is "partial 18S rRNA". It matches the Rfam family "Eukaryotic small subunit ribosomal RNA", at positions 1020 to 1312 of the family's 1831-position model. The record is from RNAcentral. Lineage: Eukaryota; Metazoa; Nematoda.
CUAGUUCUAACCGUAAACGAUGACAACCAGCGAUUAAUCGGCGUUAAUAUAUGACCCGAUUAGCAGCUUCCGGGAAACCAAAGUUUUUCGUUUCCGGGGGAAGUAUGGUUGCAAAGCUGAAACUUAAAGGAAUUGACGGAAGGGCACCACCAGGAGUGGAGCCUGCGGCUUAAUUUGACUCAACACGGGAAAACUCACCCGGCCCGGACACCGUAAGGAUUGACAGACUGAGAGCUCUUUCUUAAUUCGGUGGGUGGUGGUGCAUGGCCGUUCUUAGUUGGUGGAGCGAUUU